CUUACGGGAGGCAGCAGUGGGGAAUAUUGCACAAUGGGGGAAACCCUGAUGCAGCGACGCCGCGUGAGUGAAGAAGUAUUUCGGUAUGUCACGCUCUAUCAUCAGGGAAGAAAAUUACGGUACCUGAUUACUACCCCCCGGCUAACUACGUGCCAGCAGCCGCGGUCAUACGUAGGGGGCACGCGUUCUCCGGAUUUACUGGGGUUAACGGUAGCGUAGACGGCAGCGCAAGUCUGAAGUGAAAUGCCGGGGCUUAACCGCGGAACUGCUUUGGAAACUGUGGAGCUAGAGUGCAGGAGAGGUGAGUGGAAUUCCUAGUGUAGCGGUGAAAUGCGUAGAUAUUAGGAGGAACACCAGUGGCGAAGGCGACUUACUGGACUGUAACUGACGUUGAGGCUCGAAAGCGUGGGGAGCAAACAGGAUUAGAUACCCCGGUAGUC
Molecule: ribosomal RNA, 440 nt
Filed under: uncultured bacterium
Lineage: Bacteria
Description: partial 16S ribosomal RNA
Rfam family: Bacterial small subunit ribosomal RNA
Source: RNAcentral